UCCACAUCCAAGUAUCGUUAUGCCAAAGUCCCAUAGCUGAGACAACAGCAUCUUGCUGUCCAGAUUUGCAAUAUAAAGUCGGAUACACAGUGCACAAAGGUGACAAUCCUAUCCAUUUUUCCUUCCAAAAUCCUAUAUCAUUGCCAUCGCCAAGAAUAUUGCUAAUAUUAUUACCGAACCAGCCCCCAUCAUCCUUAUU
Molecule: long non-coding RNA, 199 nt
Filed under: Trifolium pratense (red clover)
Lineage: Eukaryota; Viridiplantae; Streptophyta; Magnoliopsida; Fabales; Fabaceae
Description: long non-coding RNA (TPRA_LNC008032)
Source: RNAcentral